RNAcentral lists this long non-coding RNA (211 nucleotides) under Lathyrus oleraceus (garden pea). RNAcentral describes it as "Pisum sativum (pea) long non-coding RNA (PSAT_LNC033484)". The record is from RNAcentral. Lineage: Eukaryota; Viridiplantae; Streptophyta; Magnoliopsida; Fabales; Fabaceae.
AUCACCCUACCAUAUACACCCAACCACUAAAGAUCCAACCUCAGAACCAAUUCAUGUCACACACCCAAACUCAAAACCAUGAACCAAACCUUAAUCACCAACAACCAUACGCAACCACCACAUUUGUCUAUAGCCCGGAUGAUUCAUACGAUUCAACUUCAUGCCAUCAUAGCCCCCCACUUAUGAACACCCAUACAUCCCAUCGCCACAA